AUAUUAAAGUUGUUGCAGUUAAAAAGCUCGUAGUUGGAUUUCUGGCCUGACAUGUCUGACCCGCCACAGUUAUGUGUGUGAGUGUCGGUCUCGUGUCUGCCAUCCUUCUGGAAAACGUGUCGGCCAUUUAUUUGGUCUGAUGCGCGAUCCAGAUCUUUUACUUUGAAGAAAUUGGAGUGUUCAAAGCAGGCUUGCGCUAUGAAUACAUUAGCAUGGAAUAAUAAUCUAGGACUCCGGUUCUAUUUUGUUGGUUUCUAGGACUGAAGUAAUGAUUAAUAGGGAUAGUUGGGGGUGCUAGUAUUCAGCGGCCAGAGGUGAAAUUCUUGGAUUCGCUGAAGACUAACUUAUGCGAAAGCAUUCACCAAGGAUGUCUUCUUUAAUCAAGAACGAAAGUUGGGGGAUCGAAGACGAUCAGAUACCGUCGUAGUCUCAACCAUAAACUAUACCGACUAAGGAUGAGUGAACGUUGUAUUCUCGACUUCAUUCGCACUUUAUGAGAAAUCAAAGUCUUUGGGUUCCGGGGGGAGUAUGGUCGCAAGGCUGAAAC
RNAcentral lists this ribosomal RNA (547 nucleotides) under uncultured Cercozoa. RNAcentral describes it as "SSU rRNA". It matches the Rfam family "Eukaryotic small subunit ribosomal RNA", at positions 601 to 1143 of the family's 1831-position model. Lineage: Eukaryota; Cercozoa. The record is from RNAcentral.